UACGUAGGGGGCAAGCGUUGUCCGGAAUCAUUGGGCGUAAAGAGCGUGUAGGCGGUUCGGUAAGUCGGCUGUGAAAGUCCAGGGCUCAACCCUGGGAUGCCGGUCGAUACUGCCGGACUAGAGUGCGGUAGGGGAGCGGGGAAUUCCUGGUGUAGCGGUGAAAUGCGCAGAUAUCAGGAGGAACACCAGUGGCGAAGGCGCCGCUCUGAGCCGUGACUGACGCUGAGGAGCGAAAGCGUGGGUAGCAAACAGG
Molecule: ribosomal RNA, 253 nt
Filed under: uncultured bacterium
Lineage: Bacteria
Description: partial 16S ribosomal RNA
Rfam family: Bacterial small subunit ribosomal RNA
Source: RNAcentral